GGGGCUGAUCGGUUUCGACGGUGACCUGUUCGUCGCAGGGAAGCGUGCCGAGAACGUAGGGUCCGCUCGUGGAUGACCCCUACACAAGAAUAAGUGCUAAAUCUAACCGCACUGAGUUCGCUCUCGCUGCCUGAGCUUCGCGCCAGGAUUAACCAGUGAGCAGCCGCUCCGUUCACUCCUUCUCGUCUUUGGGAGGAUGCUGAGCGUCGUUGAGAAGACUUGCUUCAUCGGCUGAGUCACAGGGCCGGUGAGGGACUUUAACUGCGAAUAUGCUCGCCAUCAGUUGUCUGCGAUAUCGAUGGGGGGGCAGAAAAACCGCCGCAUGGCCAGCAGACUACGCACGUAGAAGACUGAGGGUUCGGUUAUCGGACCGGGGUUCGAUUCCCCGCAGCUCCACCA
RNAcentral lists this transfer-messenger RNA (399 nucleotides) under Bifidobacterium dentium. It matches the Rfam family "transfer-messenger RNA". Rfam says of the family: Bacterial tmRNA, also known as 10Sa RNA or SsrA, is named for its dual tRNA and mRNA-like properties. Its role is to liberate the mRNA from a stalled ribosome. Lineage: Bacteria; Bacillati; Actinomycetota; Actinomycetes; Bifidobacteriales; Bifidobacteriaceae. The record is from RNAcentral.